Molecule: ribosomal RNA, 1445 nt
Filed under: uncultured Ralstonia sp.
Lineage: Bacteria; Pseudomonadati; Pseudomonadota; Betaproteobacteria; Burkholderiales; Burkholderiaceae
Description: bacterial SSU rRNA
Rfam family: Bacterial small subunit ribosomal RNA
Source: RNAcentral
AGUUUGAUCAUGGCUCAGAUUGAACGCUGGCGGCAUGCCUUACACAUGCAAGUCGAACGGCAGCAUGAUCUAGCUUGCUAGAUUGAUGGCGAGUAGCGAACGGGUGAGUAAUACAUCGGAACGUGCCCUGUAGUGGGGGAUAACUAGUCGAAAGAUUAGCUAAUACCGCAUACGACCUGAGGGUGAAAGUGGGGGACCGCAAGGCCUCAUGCUAUAGGAGCGGCCGAUGUCUGAUUAGCUAGUUGGUGAGGUAAAGGCUCACCAAGGCGACGAUCAGUAGCUGGUCUGAGAGGACGAUCAGCCACACUGGGACUGAGACACGGCCCAGACUCCUACGGGAGGCAGCAGUGGGGAAUUUUGGACAAUGGGGCAACCCUGAUCCAGCAAUGCCGCGUGUGUGAAGAAGGCCUUCGGGUUGUAAAGCACUUUUGUCCGGAAAGAAAUCGCACUUACUAAUAUUAGGUGUGGAUGACGGUACCGGAAGAAUAAGGACCGGCUAACUACGUGCCAGCAGCCGCGGUAAUACGUAGGGUCCAAGCGUUAAUCGGAAUUACUGGGCGUAAAGCGUGCGCAGGCGGUUGUGCAAGACCGAUGUGAAAUCCCCGGGCUUAACCUGGGAAUUGCAUUGGUGACUGCACGGCUAGAGUGUGUCAGAGGGGGGUAGAAUUCCACGUGUAGCAGUGAAAUGCGUAGAGAUGUGGANGGAUNCCGAUGGCGAAGNCAGCCCCCUGGGAUANCACUGACGCUCAUGCACGAAAGCGUGGGGAGCAAACAGGAUUUAGAUACCCUGGUAGUCCACGCUCUAAACGAUGUCAACUAGUUGUUGGGGAUUCAUUUCCUUAGUAACGUAGCUAACGCGUGAAGUUGACCGCCUGGGGAGUACGGUCGCAAGAUUAAAACUCAAAGGAAUUGACGGGGACCCGCACAAGCGGUGGAUGAUGUGGAUUAAUUCGAUGCAACGCGAAAAACCUUACCUACCCUUGACAUGCCACUAACGAAGCAGAGAUGCAUUAGGUGCUCGAAAGAGAAAGUGGACACAGGUGCUGCAUGGCUGUCGUCAGCUCGUGUCGUGAGAUGUUGGGUUAAGUCCCGCAACGAGCGCAACCCUUGUCUCUAGUUGCUACGAAAGGGCACUCUAGAGAGACUGCCGGUGACAAACCGGAGGAAGGUGGGGAUGACGUCAAGUCCUCAUGGCCCUUAUGGGUAGGGCUUCACACGUCAUACAAUGGUGCAUACAGAGGGUUGCCAAGCCGCGAGGUGGAGCUAAUCCCAGAAAAUGCAUCGUAGUCCGGAUCGUAGUCUGCAACUCGACUACGUGAAGCUGGAAUCGCUAGUAAUCGCGGAUCAGCAUGCCGCGGUGAAUACGUUCCCGGGUCUUGUACACACCGCCCGUCACACCAUGGGAGUGGGUUUUGCCAGAAGUAGUUAGCCUAACCGCAAGGGGG